UGGGGAUGACGUCAAAUCAUCAUGCCCUUUAUGACCUGGGCUACAAACGUACUACAAUGGCCAGAUACAAAGAGAUGCGAAGCCGCGAGGUGGAGCGAACCUCAUAAAAAUGGUCUCAGUUCGGAUUGGAGUCUGCAACUCGCCUACAUGAAGUCGGAAUCGCUAGUAAUCGCGGAUCAGCACGCCCGCGGUCCGAAUACGUUCCGGCCUU
This 211-nucleotide ribosomal RNA is filed under the name uncultured Bacillota bacterium. RNAcentral's name for it is "uncultured Firmicutes bacterium partial 16S ribosomal RNA". It matches the Rfam family "Bacterial small subunit ribosomal RNA", at positions 1174 to 1374 of the family's 1533-position model. Lineage: Bacteria; Bacillati; Bacillota. The record is from RNAcentral.